Molecule: ribosomal RNA, 492 nt
Filed under: uncultured bacterium
Lineage: Bacteria
Description: partial 16S ribosomal RNA
Rfam family: Bacterial small subunit ribosomal RNA
Source: RNAcentral
AGUGAACGCUGGCGGUAGGCCUAACACAUGCAAGUCGAACGGCAGCACAGUAAGAGCUUGCUCUUACGGGUGGCGAGUGGCGGACGGGUGAGGAAUACAUCGGAAUCUACUUUUUCGUGGGGGAUAACGUAGGGAAACUUACGCUAAUACCGCAUACGACCUACGGGUGAAAGCAGGGGAUCUUCGGACCUUGCGCGAUUGAAUGAGCCGAUGUCGGAUUAGCUAGUUGGCGGGGUAAAGGCCCACCAAGGCGACGAUACGUAGCUGGUCUGAGAGGAUGAUCAGCCACGCUGGAACUGAGACACGGUCCAGACUCCUACGGGAGGCAGCAGUGGGGAAUAUUGGACAAUGGGCGCAAGCCUGAUCCAGCCAUACCGCGUGAGUGAAGAAGGCCUUCGGGUUGUAAAGCCCUUUUGUUGGGAAAGAAAAGCAGCAGGUUAAUACCCCGCUGUUCUGACGGUACCCAAAGAAUAAGCACCGGCUAACUUCGUG